This 71-nucleotide transfer RNA is filed under the name Microcaldota archaeon. RNAcentral describes it as "tRNA-His". It matches the Rfam family "tRNA". From Rfam's summary of the family: Transfer RNA (tRNA) molecules are approximately 80 nucleotides in length. Their secondary structure includes four short double-helical elements and three loops (D, anti-codon, and T loops). The record is from RNAcentral. Lineage: Archaea; Nanobdellati; Microcaldota.
GCCACGAUGGCGUAAUGGUAGCGUGAGGGGUUGUGGUCCCCUAGGCCUGAGUUCGAUUCUCGGUCGUGGCC